This is a non-coding RNA of Nasonia vitripennis (jewel wasp), 54 nucleotides long. The record is from Rfam. NCBI's taxonomy places the organism in Eukaryota, Metazoa, Arthropoda, Insecta, Hymenoptera, Pteromalidae.
CUUUUAAUGCGGCCUAUUGUCGGUCUCAAGCCCGAAGAAAACGCAGAGAGAAAA